UCGCGGUGAAUAAUAGGCACAACAGCCUCCUCGUGUAGGUAGUGCAUGCCCCUGGCGAUUUGAACAGCCCAGUUGACAAGAAUGUGUGGGGGUAUCCUCCGACCAGUCAAAGCCCGGUGAUCUCCUGUCCACUUCCUCCAACUCGGAGUACCAGGACGAGCUGGCGGGCCCACACACAGACUGCCCCUUCCAGAUCCGCAUCAUCCCUGCACACAGGCUCCAGCCUCGGAGAACGCACCCCGAAAUCUUUCAGGAGGAGGACUCGAUCGGUGAGUCGUCAGAGACCUCCACACAGGAAAAGCCCUCUCCUAAGCUGUACUACAAGCUUAAGCUUUUUCCUGGGAAGUGGGUGAACAUCUUGUAUGACCGGCUGACCUUGUUGGCGCUAUUGGACAGUUAAGAGAAAAGGCCCCUAUUCUAUCUUUCCUUUUCCGUCUCUCAGCGAUUGAUCAACUUGUUGACGGAGACUUUUUGCCUUUAGGAACCAAGAUGUGGUGGAGAACAUAGUGGCUGUGUUCUUGGCCUUCCUGGUGGCCUUCCUGGGGUUUAUCCUGCUCAACCACGGUUGCUUCAAAGACAUCUGGGUUUUCCAGUUCUGCGUGGUCAUCGCUAGCUGCCACUACUCGUUGUUAAAGUUACGGAAGCACCACCCUUGGCUCUGGAUCUCUCACCCAGUACUAAAGAGCAAUGAGUACUCCCAGUAUGAGCCCAGAGACAAUGCUCAGUUGAUGUGGUUUGAGCGUCUGUACGUUGGCCUGCUGUGUUUUGAGAAAUACGUUGUUUACCCAGCCAUCAUUCUGAGUGCGCUCACCAAUGAUGGCUUCUCACUCAGUCACCGCAAGAA
Molecule: long non-coding RNA, 844 nt
Organism: Oncorhynchus keta (chum salmon)
Lineage: Eukaryota; Metazoa; Chordata; Actinopteri; Salmoniformes; Salmonidae
Exons: 5
Source: RefSeq, a predicted model, not a curated record